RNAcentral lists this ribosomal RNA (402 nucleotides) under Bacteroidota bacterium. RNAcentral describes it as "Bacteroidetes bacterium partial 16S ribosomal RNA". It matches the Rfam family "Bacterial small subunit ribosomal RNA", at positions 355 to 776 of the family's 1533-position model. Lineage: Bacteria; Pseudomonadati; Bacteroidota. The record is from RNAcentral.
UGGGGAAUUUUGCACAAUGGGGGAAACCCUGAUGCAGCGACGCCGCGUGAUUUAGAAGGCCUUCGGGUUGUAAAAAUCUUUUGUAUAGGAAGAAAAUGACAGUACUAUACGAAUAAGGACCGGCUAAUUACGUGCCAGCAGCCGCGGUAAUACGUAAGGUCCGAGCGUUGUCCGGAAUCAUUGGGCGUAAAGGGUACGUAGGCGGGUAAGCAAGUUAGAAGUGAAAUCCUAUAGCUCAACUAUAGUAAGCUUUUAAAACUGCUCAUCUUGAGGUAUGGAAGGGAAAGUGGAAUUCCUAGUGUAGCGGUGAAAUGCGCAGAUAUUAGGAGGAAUACCGGUGGCGAAGGCGACUUUCCGGCCAUAACCUGACGCUGAGGUACGAAAGCGUGGGUAGCAAACAGG